RNAcentral lists this ribosomal RNA (472 nucleotides) under uncultured bacterium. Its description in RNAcentral is "bacterial SSU rRNA". It matches the Rfam family "Bacterial small subunit ribosomal RNA", at positions 29 to 507 of the family's 1533-position model. The record is from RNAcentral.
AACGAACGCUGGCGGCGCGCUUAAGCAUGCAAGUCGGACGGCAAGGCGGGAAGCUUGCUCCUGCCCUAGAGUGGCGGACUGGUGAGUAACACGUGGGUGACAUACCCUCUGGUUGGGGAUAGCCGGUAGAAAUACCGGAUAAUACCGAAUACGAACGCACAGGGUUAGAGUGGUGCGAGGAAAGGAGCUACGGCUUCGCCGGAGGAUUGGCCCGCGUCUGAUUAGCUAGUUGGUGGGGGUAACGGCCUACCAAGGCGACGAUCAGUAGCCGGCCUGAGAGGGUGACCGGCCACAUUGGGACUGAGACACGGGCCCAAACUCCUACGGGAGGCAGCAGUGGGGAAUAUUGCACAAUGGGGGAAACCCUGAUGCAGCAACGCCGCGUGAGUGAAGAAGUAUUUCGGUAUGUAAAGCUCUAUCAGCAGGGAAGAAAAAGACGGUACCUGACUAAGAAGCACCGGCUAAAUACGUG